AGUGAACGCUGGCGGUAGGCCUAACACAUGCAAGUCGAACGGCAGCACAGUAAGAGCUUGCUCUUACGGGUGGCGAGUGGCGGACGGGUGAGGAAUACAUCGGAAUCUACUUUUUCGUGGGGGAUAACGUUGGGAAACUUACGCUAAUACCGCAUACGACCUACGGGUGAAAGCAGGGGAUCUUCGGACCUUGCGCGAUUGAAUGAGCCGAUGUCGGAUUAGCUAGUUGGCGGGGUAAAGGCCCACCAAGGCGACGAUCCGUAGCUGGUCUGAGAGGAUGAUCAGCCACACUGGAGCUGAGACACGGUCCAGACUCCUACGGGAGGCAGCAGUGGGGAAUAUUGGACAAUGGGCGCAAGCCUGAUCCAGCCAUACCGCGUGGGUGAAGAAGGCCUUCGGGUUGUAAAGCCCUUUUGUUGGGAAAGAAAAGCAGCAGGUUAAUACCCCGCUGUUCUGACGGUACCCAAAGAAUAAGCACCGGCUAACUUCGUG
This 492-nucleotide ribosomal RNA is filed under the name uncultured bacterium. RNAcentral's name for it is "partial 16S ribosomal RNA". It matches the Rfam family "Bacterial small subunit ribosomal RNA", at positions 29 to 507 of the family's 1533-position model. The record is from RNAcentral.